RNAcentral lists this long non-coding RNA (4082 nucleotides) under Citrus x clementina. RNAcentral's name for it is "Citrus clementina (C. clementina) long non-coding RNA (CCLE_LNC006398)". Lineage: Eukaryota; Viridiplantae; Streptophyta; Magnoliopsida; Sapindales; Rutaceae. The record is from RNAcentral.
CGGAAUCGGAAUGGCACCAGACUUAGCGGGCGGCCUCCGUGUGCCAAAAAUAGGCAACGGGCACAGCCGCGCCCAAAAAACAGCCCCCGAAGUUCGGGGUCCCAAGACCCCCCAGCGGAAAAAUGGCCAAAAAACGGGUGGGCUAUAGCCUUGGUGGGGGGCGUGGGCGAAGUUCGUCCGCGGGACUCGGAAUGGCACCAGACUUGGCGGGCGGCCUCCGUGUGCCAAAAAUAGGCCACGGGCACAGCCGCGCCCAAAAAACAGCCCCCGAAGUUCGGGGUCCCAAGACCUCCCAGCGGAAAAAUGGCCAAAAAACGGGUGGGCUAUAGCCUUGGUGGGGGGCGUGGGCGAAGUUCGUCCGCGGGACUCGGAACGGCACCAGACUUGGCGGGCGGCCUCCGUGUGCCAAAAAUAGGCCACGGGCACAGCCGCGCCCAAAAAUCAGCCCCCGAAGUUCGGGGUCCCAAGACCUCCCAGCGGAAAAAUGGCCAAAAAACGGGUGGGCUAUAGCCUUGGUGGGGGGCGUGGGCGAAGUUCGUCCGCGGGACUCGGAACGGCACCAGACUUGGCGGGCGGCCUCCGUGUGCCAAAAAUAGGCCACGGGCACAGCCGCGCCCAAAAAUCAGCCCCCGAAGUUCGGGGUCCCAAGACCCCCCAGCAGAAAAAUGGCCAAAAAACGGGUGGGCUAUAGCCUUGGUGGGGGGCGUGGGCGAACUUCGUCCGCGGGACUCGGAAUGGCACCAGACUUGGCGGGCGGCCUCCGUGUGCCAAAAAUAGGCCACGGACACAGCCGCGCCCAAAAAACAGCCCCCGAAGUUCGGGGUCCCAAGACCCCCCAGCGGAAAAAUGGCCAAAAAACGGUGGGCUAUAGCCUUGGUGGGGUGCGUGGGCGAAGUUCGUCCGCGGGACUCGGAAUGGCACCAGACUUGGCGGGCGGCCUCCGUGUGCCAAAAAUAGGCCACGGGCACAGCCGCGCCCAAAAAACAGCCCCCGAAGUUCGGGGUCCCAAGAACCCCCAGCGGAAAAAUGGCCAAAAAACGGGUGGGCUAUAGCCUUGGUGGGGGGCGUGGGCGAAGUUCGUCCGCGGGACUCGGAAUGGCACCAGACUUGGCGGGCGGCCUCCGUGUGCCAAAAAUAGGCCACGGGCACAGCCGCGCCCAAAAAACAACCCCCGAAGUUCGGGGUCCCAAGACCUUCCAGCGGAAAAAUGGCCAAAAAACGGUGGGCUAUAGCCUUGGUGGGGGGCGUGGGCGAAGUUCGUCCGUGGGACUCGGAAUGGCACCAGACUUGGCGGGCGGCCUCCGUGUGCCAAAAAUAGGCCACGGGCACAGCCGCGCCCAAAAAACAGCCCCCGAAGUUCGGGGUCCCAAGACCCCCCAGCGGAAAAAUGGCCAAAAAACGGGUGGGCUAUAGCCUUGGUGGGGGGCGUGGGCGAAGUUCGUCCGCGGGACUCGGAAUGGCACCAGACUUGGCGGGCGGCCUCCGUGUGCCAAAAAUAGGCCACGGGCACAGCCGCGCCCAAAAAACAGCCCCCGAAGUUCGGGGUCCCAAGACCCCCCAGCGGAAAAAUGGCCAAAAAACGGGUGGGCUAUAGCCUUGGUGGGGGGCGUGGGCGAAGUUCGGCCGCGGGACUCGGAAUGGCACCACACUUGGCGGGCGGCCUCCGUGUGCCAAAAAUAGGCCACGGGCACAGCCGCGCCCAAAAAACAGCCCCCGAAGUUCCGGGUCCCAAGACCCCCCAGCGGAAAAAUGGCCAAAAAACGGUGGGCUAUAGCCUUGGUGGGGGGCGUGGGCGAAGUUCGUCCGCGGGACUCGGAAUGGCACCAGACUUGGCGGGCGGCCUCCGUGUGCCAAAAAUAGGCCACGGGCACAGCCGCGCCCAAAAAUGAGCUCCCGAAGGUCGGGUUCCAACACCCCCCAGCGGAAAAAUGGCCAAAAAACGGCUGCGCUAUAGCCUUGGUGGGGGGCGUGGGCGAAGUUCGUCCGCCGGACUCGGAAUGGCCCCAGACUUUGCGGGCGGCCACCGUUUGCCAAAAAUAGGCCACGGGCACAGCCGCGCCCAAAAAUGAGCGCCCGAAGGUCGGGGCGCCAACACCCCCCAGCGGAAAAAUGGCCAAAAAACGUGUGGGCUAUAGCCUUGGUGGGGGGCGUGGGCGAAGUUCGUCCGCCUGACUCGGAAUGGCCCCAGACUUUGCGGGCGGCCUCCGUGUGCCAAAAAUAGGCCACGGGCACAGCCGCGCCCAAAAAUGAGCGCCCGAUGGUCGGGGCGCCCACACCCCCCAGCGGAAAAAUGGCCAAGAAACGGGUGGGCUAUAGCCUUUGGGGGGGGCGUGGGCGAAAUUCGUCCGCCGGAUUCGGAAUGGCCCCAGACUUUGCGGGCGGCCUCCGUGUGCCAAAAAUAGGCCACGGGCACAGCCGCGCCCAAAAAUGAGCACCCGAAGGUCGGNNNNNNNNNNNNNNNNNNNNNNNNNNNNNNNNNNNNNNNNNNNNNNNNNNNNNNNNNNNNNNNNNNNNNNNNNNNNNNNNNNNNNNNNNNNNNNNNNNNNCAACACCCCCCAGCGGAAAAAUGGCCAAGAAACGGGUGGGCUAUAGCCUUGGUGGGGCGCGUGGGCGAUGUUCAUCCGCCGGACUCGGAAUGGCCCCAGACUUUGCGGGCGGCCUCCCUGUGCCAAAAAUAGGCCACGGGCACAGCCGAGCCCAAAAAUGAGCGCCCGAAGGCCGGGGCGCCAACACCCCCCAGCGGAAAAAUGCCAAAAAACGGGUGGGCUAUAGCCUUGGUGGGGGGCGUGGGCGAAGUUCGUCCGCCGGACUCGGAAUGGCCCCAGACAUUGCGGGCGGCCUCCGUGUGCCAAAAAUUGGCCACGGGCACAGCCGCGCCCAAAAAUGAGCUCCCGAAGGUCGGGUUCCAACACCCCCCAGAGGAAAAAUGGCCAAAAAACGGGUGCGCUAUAGCCUUGGUGGGGGGCGUGGGCGAAGUUCGUCCGCCGGACUCGGAAUGUCCCCAGACUUUGCGGGCGGCCUCCGUGUGCCAAAAAUAGGCCACGGGCACAGCCGCGCCCAAAAAUGAGCGCCCGAAGGUCGGGGCGCCAACACCCCCCAGCGGAAAAAUGGCCAAGAAACGGGUGUGCUAUAGCCUUGGUGGGGGGCGUGGGCGAAGUUCGUCCGCCGGACUCGGAAUGUCCCCAGACUUUGCGGGCGGCCUCCGUGUGCCAAAAAUAGGCCACGGGCACAGCCGCGCCCAAAAAUGAGCGCCCGAAGGUCGGGGCGCCAACACCCCCCAGCGGAAAAAUGGCCAAGAAACGGGUGUGCUAUAGCCUUGGUGGGGGGCGUGGGCGAAGUUCGUCCGCCGGACUCGGAAUGGCCCCAGACUUUGCGGGCGGCCUCCGUUUGCCAAAAAUAGGCCACGGACACAGCCGCGUCCAAAAAUGAGCGCCCGAAGGUCGGGGCGCCAACACCCCCCAGCGGAAAAAUGGCGAAAAAACGUGUGGGCUAUAGCCUUGGUGGGGGGCGUGGGCGAAGUUCGUCCGCCUGACUCGGAAUGGCCCCAGACUUUGCGGGCGGCCUCCGUGUGCCAAAAAUAGGCCACGGGCACAGCCGCGCCCAAAAACGAGCGCCCGAAGGUCGGGGCGCCAACACCCCCCAGCGGAAAAAUGGCCAAAAAACGGGUGGGCUAUAGCCUUGGCGGGGGGCGUGGGCGAAGUUCGACCGCCGGACUCGGAAUGGCCCCAGACUUUGCAGGCGGCCUCCGUUUACCAAAAAUAAGCCACGGGCACAGCCGCGCCCAAAAAUGAGCGCCCGAAGGUCGGGGCGCCAACACCCCCCAGCGGAAAAAUAGCCAAAAAACGGGUGGGCUAUAGCCUUGGUGGGGGGCGUGGGCGAAGUUCGUCCGCCGAACUCGGAAUGGCCCCAGACUUUGCUGGCGGCCUCCGUGUCCCAAAAAUAGGCCACGGGCACAGCCGCGCCCAAAAAUGAGCGCCCGAAGGUCGGGGCGCCAACACCCCCCAGCGGAAAAAUGGCCGAAAAACGGGUGGGCUAUAGCCUUGGUGGGGGGCGUGGGCAAAGUUCGUCCGCCGGACUCGGAA